This 609-nucleotide ribosomal RNA is filed under the name bacterium enrichment culture clone SC-1_56. Its description in RNAcentral is "bacterial SSU rRNA". It matches the Rfam family "Bacterial small subunit ribosomal RNA", at positions 1 to 633 of the family's 1533-position model. The record is from RNAcentral.
UAGAGUUUGAUCCUGGCUCAGGACGAACGCUGGCGGCGUGCUUAACACAUGCAAGUCGAACGGAAAGGCCCUUCGGGGUACUCGAGUGGCGAACGGGUGAGUAACACGUGGGUGAUCUGCCCUGCACUUUGGGAUAAGCCUGGGAAACUGGGUCUAAUACCGAAUAGGAUCACAAUCUUCAUGGGUUGUGGUGGAAAGCUUUUGCGGUGUGGGAUGGGCCCGCGGCCUAUCAGCUUGUUGGUGGGGUAAUGGCCUACCAAGGCGACGACGGGUAGCCGGCCUGAGAGGGUGACCGGCCACACUGGGACUGAGAUACGGCCCAGACUCCUACGGGAGGCAGCAGUGGGGAAUAUUGCACAAUGGGCGCAAGCCUGAUGCAGCGACGCCGCGUGAGGGAUGACGGCCUUCGGGUUGUAAACCUCUUUCAAUAGGGACGAAGCGCAAGUGACGGUACCUAUAGAAGAAGCACCGGCCAACUACGUGCCAGCAGCCGCGGUAAUACGUAGGGUGCGAGCGUUGUCCGGAAUUACUGGGCGUAAAGAGCUCGUAGGUGGUUUGUCGCGUUGUUCGUGAAAACUCACAGCUUAACUGUGGGCGUGCGGGCGAUAC